Molecule: non-coding RNA, 48 nt
Filed under: Schistosoma mattheei
Lineage: Eukaryota; Metazoa; Platyhelminthes; Trematoda; Strigeidida; Schistosomatidae
Source: RNAcentral
GUCCAGCUGAAGAGUCUCAAAUAGGACGAAACGCGCGUCAAACUGGAU